Molecule: ribosomal RNA, 489 nt
Filed under: uncultured bacterium
Lineage: Bacteria
Description: bacterial SSU rRNA
Rfam family: Bacterial small subunit ribosomal RNA
Source: RNAcentral
GGUGAGUAACACGUGGGUAUCUUCCCUUGAGCGGGGGAUAACAUUCCGAAAGGAGUGCUAUACCGCAUAAGACCACGGUCCGAAAGGAGCUGAGGUAAAGCUGGCCUCUAUAUAUAAGCUAGCACUUAAGGAUGAGCCCGCGCCAUCAGUUAGUUGGCAGGGUAAUGGCCUACCAAGACUAAGACGGGUAGCUGGUCUGAGAGGAAGAUCAGCCACGGUGGAACUGAGACACGGUCCAGACUCCUACGGGAGGCAGCAGUGGGGAAUCUUGCGCAAUGGACGAAAGUCUGACGCAGCGACGCCGCGUGGGUGAUGAAGGCCUUCGGGUUGUAAAAGCCCUGUGGGGAGAGACGGAAUAAAGUGCCGCCUAAAUACCGUUGCCUGAUGGAACGGGUAUCUCCUUUAGCAAGCACCGGUUAACUCUGUGCCAGCAGCCGGGGGUAAAGACCAGAGGGGUGCAAACGGUGGUUCGGAAAUUACUUGGGCGUA